AAAUCAUGAGUCGGAAACUUCUGUAGAUAUUCUUUAAAUCUCUCCUAAGCUUCAUAUAAUUGUUCCCCCGGUUGCCGUUUGAAUUCAUAGAUUUUGUCACGAUCU
Small nucleolar RNA from Lycium ferocissimum, 105 nucleotides. The record is from RefSeq and is a predicted model, not a curated record. Lineage: Eukaryota; Viridiplantae; Streptophyta; Magnoliopsida; Solanales; Solanaceae.